Molecule: transfer RNA, 74 nt
Filed under: Armatimonadota bacterium
Lineage: Bacteria; Bacillati; Armatimonadota
Description: Armatimonadetes bacterium tRNA-Arg
Rfam family: tRNA
About the family: Transfer RNA (tRNA) molecules are approximately 80 nucleotides in length. Their secondary structure includes four short double-helical elements and three loops (D, anti-codon, and T loops).
Source: RNAcentral
GCGCCCGUAGCUCAGCGGAUUAGAGUACCUGACUUCGGAUCAGGUGGUCGGGGGUUCGAAUCCCUCCGGGCGUA